GACGAACGCUGGCGGCGUGCUUAACACAUGCAAGUCGAACGCUGAAGCACCAGCUUGCUGGUGUGGAUGAGUGGCGAACGGGUGAGUAAUACGUGAGUAACCUGCCCUUGACUCUGGGAUAAGCCCGGGAAACUGGGUCUAAUACUGGAUGCUACAUGUCACCGCAUGGUGGUGUGUGGAAAGGGUUUACUGGUCUUGGAUGGGCUCACGGCCUAUCAGCUUAUUGGUGAGGUAAUGGCUCACCAAGGCGACGACGGGUAGCCGGCCUGAGAGGGUGACCGGCCACACUGGGACUGAGACACGGCCCAGACUCCUACGGGAGGCAGCAGUGGGGAAUAUUGCACAAUGGGCGAAAGCCUGAUGCAGCGACGCCGCGUGAGGGAUGACGGCCUUCGGGUUGUAAACCUCUUUCAGCAGGGAAGAAGCCACAAGUGACGGUACCUGCAGAAGAAGCGCCGGCUAACUACGUG
This 470-nucleotide ribosomal RNA is filed under the name uncultured bacterium. RNAcentral describes it as "partial 16S ribosomal RNA". It matches the Rfam family "Bacterial small subunit ribosomal RNA", at positions 28 to 507 of the family's 1533-position model. The record is from RNAcentral.